UUUUGUUUUGGACUUUUACAGUUGAAACAUAUAAGCUAAUUUUAUUGGUUGUUGUUAAUUUUAUAUGACACGGUUUACUGAACAAAAUAAACUUUGGAAGUACUCGGGAGUCGAAGUGUUGACUUGUCAGCAGGGGGCGCACUGACUCGUCUUAGCAGGUACGCUGUAAAAUGUAGCUGUUUUCAAAAGCUUAACUUGCCAAAUGCACAAAUGGUCCCUACCUUUCUAUGCAUAUUCACAACCAGGAGCGAAUUCACUGCAUAACACAGGGCCUUAAAAUAGGGGGACAAUGACCUCCCCAUCUCCCACUCAGCCCCAUCUGUGAAAUGGCCUGAGAAAGGAAAACCGGCUUAAAACAGUAUUCCUCCAUGUCUUUCUGUGAAGAGGAUAUAAGUAUGGAAAACAGAGUUGGGCAGUGAAAGCAGAAACGCUUUGCAAAAUUCCUAGGGAUAUGCGGUAACCUACUCCAUAGGUUACCUUUCAGGUUGUAUUUUUGGGGAAACAGUCAAGAAGAGAAAGAUGUAUUCUAAAGGUAUUAUCUAUUAAAUGGUGAACAAUCUUCUACUUGAGGCAGGCUUUGACUUCUAAAUAAAACCCCAGCUCCUGGAGACUUAGUCCAGGCUUCCUGAAUCUCUUUUACUCCAUUCGAUAUAUAACGGCGCCUUUAAAUCUUGGCAUCUCCUCUGAUUGUGGCAAGAUUCUGAAUUUAUCCUUGAAAGGGCUUGUUAGGGAAAAGGAAAUACGAAAUAGCCGACGGUAAGAGGUCACUGUGAGCUUGGAACUUUUUAGCACAAUACAACUUAAUGCAGUUGCAGAAAAGUUUUCACAGAGCUCAGGGUUUCCGCCCUAGAGAUUUUUAGAUACAGCCAAGGAAGACUGAACUUUAUUGUGGUGAAGGAUGAAAAGAUUCGAGGAAAACUUCCUGAAAUAGUGAAGGGCAAAUGCUCCCCGGUUCUGAGGAAUUAGUCAGUUUGUCACUAACAGUUUUCCCAAGGAGAUUUGGAAAGCUUGACUCAGAAAGGGGAGCUGUGAGUGACUGGAAGUGAGAAGCUGGUUUCCACGGUUCAGCAGCUCCCGGCACCUGUGUGUCACCGAGCCUGGAGAAGGGCCCCGGGCUGGGGGCUCUGCAGGAGGGGGAAAGACACCUUAUUCUUUCGAACUUGACUCUAAGCCAGCCAGGAUCCAGCCAGAAGUUUUUCUUUGAAACUAACUUGCGAAAGUCAAGGUUUGGAUGUAAGUGGUAUUUCAUCUAGGAGGGUUGGAAAUUAUGUGAGUAACAUAUGCAAGGGAGCACUUUGAAAAAUAUUUUAAUUCCAGGAUUUUUAUCCACCAGCUCUCACAUUUAGAGUCAGGAAAUGUACAGGCAGGUUUGUGCAAAUAGCACAAAGUAGAAGAU
Molecule: long non-coding RNA, 1396 nt
Filed under: Bos grunniens (domestic yak)
Lineage: Eukaryota; Metazoa; Chordata; Mammalia; Artiodactyla; Bovidae
Description: lncRNA (ENSBGRG00000005695.1)
Source: RNAcentral